RNAcentral lists this ribosomal RNA (253 nucleotides) under uncultured bacterium. RNAcentral describes it as "partial 16S ribosomal RNA". It matches the Rfam family "Bacterial small subunit ribosomal RNA", at positions 524 to 776 of the family's 1533-position model. The record is from RNAcentral.
UACGUAGGUGGCAAGCGUUGUCCGGAAUUAUUGGGCGUAAAGCGCGCGCAGGUGGUCCUUUAAGUCUGAUGUGAAAGCCCACGGCUCAACCGUGGAGGGUCAUUGGAAACUGGGGGACUUGAGUGCAGGAGAGAAGAGUGGAAUUCCACGUGUAGCGGUGAAAUGCGUAGAGAUGUGGAGGAACACCAGUGGCGAAGGCGACACUCUGGGCCGGUACUGACGCUGAGGAGCGAAAGCGUGGGGAGCGAACAGG